Long non-coding RNA from Oncorhynchus tshawytscha (Chinook salmon), 560 nucleotides. Lineage: Eukaryota; Metazoa; Chordata; Actinopteri; Salmoniformes; Salmonidae. The record is from Ensembl.
GCAGCACAACACGACAACAACAAGGUAGCAGCACAACACGACAACAACAAGGUAGCAGCACAACACGACAACAACAUGGUAGCAGCACAACAUGACGACAACAACAAGGUAGCAGGACAACACGACAACAACAAGGUAGAGGCACAACACGACAACAACAAGGUAGCAGGACAACACGACAACAACACAACAUGACAUCAACAUGGUAGCAGCACAACACUACAACAAAAAGGUAGCAACACAACACGACAACAACAAGGUAGCAGCACAACACGACAACAACAUGGUAGCAGCACAACACGACAACAACAUGGUAGCAGCACAACACGACAACAACAUGGUAGCAACACAUCACGACGUUGUAGCAGCACAACACGACAACAACAUGGUAGCAACACAUCACGACACAACGUUGUAGCAGCACAACACUACAACAACAUGGUAGCAGCACAACACGACAACAACAUGGUAGCAGCACAACACGACAACAACAUGGUAGCAGCACAACACGACAACAACAAGGUAGAAGCACAAACCAUGGUACAAACAUUAUCAGGCAG